GCGAACAGGAUUAGAUACCCUGGUAGUCCACGCUGUAAACGAUGUCGAUUUGGAGGUUGUGCCCUUGAGGCGUGGCUUCCGGAGCUAACGCGUUAAAUCGACCGCCUGGGGAGUACGGCCGCAAGGUUAAAACUCAAAUGAAUUGACGGGGGCCCGCACAAGCGGUGGAGCAUGUGGUUUAAUUCGAUGCAACGCGAAGAACCUUACCUACUCUUGACAUCCAGAGAACUUUCCAGAGAUGGAUUGGUGCCUUCGGGAACUCUGAGACAGGUGCUGCAUGGCUGUCGUCAGCUCGUGUUGUGAAAUGUUGGGUUAAGUCCCGCAACGAGCGCAACCCUUAUCCUUUGUUGCCAGCGGUUCGGCCGGGAACUCAAAGGAGACUGCCAGUGAUAAACUGGAGGAAGGUGGGGAUGACGUCAAGUCAUCAUGGCCCUUACGAGUAGGGCUACACACGUGCUACAAUGGCAUAUACAAAGAGAAGCGACCUCGCGAGAGCAAGCGGACCUCAUAAAGUAUGUCGUAGUCCGGAUUGGAGUCUGCAACUCGACUCCAUGAAGUCGGAAUCGCUAGUAAUCGUAGAUCAGAAUGCUACGGUGAAUACGUUCCCGGGCCUUGUACACACCGCCCGUCACACCAUGGGAGUGGGUUGCAAAAGAAGUAGGUAGCUUAACCUUCGGGAGGGCGCUUACCACUUUGUGAUUCAUGACUGGGG
Molecule: ribosomal RNA, 712 nt
Filed under: uncultured Serratia sp.
Lineage: Bacteria; Pseudomonadati; Pseudomonadota; Gammaproteobacteria; Enterobacterales; Yersiniaceae
Description: bacterial SSU rRNA
Rfam family: Bacterial small subunit ribosomal RNA
Source: RNAcentral